Molecule: microRNA precursor, 126 nt
Filed under: Pelobates cultripes (western spadefoot toad)
Lineage: Eukaryota; Metazoa; Chordata; Amphibia; Anura; Pelobatidae
Source: RNAcentral
GUGUGUGUGUGUGUGUGUGUGUGUGUGUGUGUGUGUGUGUGUAUAUAUAUAUAUAUAUAUACACACAUAUAUAUAUAUACGUAUAUAUAUAUUCACAGACACACACACUCACAGACACACACUCAC